AUGGAAGGUGCGUGCCUGUGCUUACUCAAAUCCGCUUGCCAGUGCCUGGCAAGGGAGGCGACAUCAAGUGCCGCCAAAGAGAUGGCCUUGCAGGCUGGCGUUCAAGAGGACGCCAUGAUCCUGGCGGAAGAGCUCGGGGAGAUGCACAAGUUCCUUGCAGAUGUGGACAAGUAUGAGGAGGCUCGUGGAGAGAUGGAUCCGAGCGGUGAUGCUGAGGAGGCACCGGCACGGCGGUGGGUGGACAAAAUCCGGGACAUGGCAUGCGACAUCCAAGACUGCCUCCUGCAGCUCGCCCCUCACCGGGAGAGGCCGUCCUUGUGGAGGUUCCGGUGGACCUCUCUGGCUCCACGGCACUCUAUCGCCGCCGAGCUCAAGGACUUGGUGUCCCAAGUUAAUCGCGUGAGUGAGAGGAGGGAGCGCUAUCAAGUCGCCCGCUUCAUGGCGGCAUUGAGGAAGCCACCGGUCAGUCUGGUAGAGGAGGCGCGGCUGGCAACGGAUAUUGACCACAAGUUUGAUCUUGGCCAGCUGCUUGCGUGGCCCGAUGAAUCACUAUUGGUAAUCUCUGUAUGGACAAUGGCAGGCAUCGGAAAUGGAGACACCACUUCUCUCAUCGGCCUAGUCUAUGACGAUGCCAAGAUGUUCCAGUGCCGUGCAUGGGUCACGGCUACCCACCCCAUCAGCCUCACCGAGUUCCUGCGGGGCUUGGCGAGGCAGCUCCUGGCAAAUGAAAACAAUUGCAUGCCGCCGGUGUCGCAGAGCACACUCGGUUUCCUCGGGGAUACUGAGAGGAUGGGGACCGAGGAGCUGAUGAUGGUGGUAGCAAACCACCUUGACGAGAAGCGGUACCUGGUCAUCAUUGAAGAUGUAUGCGCGAGGCCCACGUGGGACUGGAUCAAAAUCCUCUUCCCGGAUCAUAUGAAUGGCAGCCGGAUCAUAGUAUCAUCUCAGAGAGCUGAUGUGGCGAGGCAUUGCGCUGGGCGGCUGAGCAGAUCCUUCACCCUUGAAGGAGUUUCAGAUAAUGACGCACAGCUUUACGUCUCUUCCAACCAGGCUGCCACCACUAAUGAAGCAAAUGUUGUUAUAAAAAUAGAGCCAUACUCAGAGUUGGUUGGCAGGAAGGCGGAAGUUGCUGAUUUAACUAGAAGGAUAUUAGAGGAUGGUCCUGACUGCUACCCAAUCUCCGUGUACGGGGCUAGUGGUAUCGGAAAGAGUGUCCUUGUCAAGAAAGUUAUUUACGAUAGCCUAGAGAUGUCUACGAGGUUUGAAAUGCUAGCAUGGAUCACCAUGAUGCGUCCUUUCAGUCAGGAGGAGUUCUUACGAAGCAUAAUUUCACAAUUCCUUGCAUGCUCCCCAGGAGGGAGGCAAGACUCUGUAAGUCGCACCAGUAACAUGUCUGGUGACAAAUUGGUGACUAAGAUUCUUCAGCUCAUGGAAGGAGGGAGAUCUCUAGUAGUCCUCGAUGGGCUGUCAGCAGACGAAGAAUGGGAUCAGGUGAAGUCGUGCUUAUGGGAUGAUGGUAAUGCUAAACAUAGCUGCACUAUAGUCGUUACCACGACAAAUGCUGCAGUUGCUCAUUAUUGUUCAGGGAAUAAAGACACUCUAUGCAAGUUGGAUCCUCUUGACAGCGCCGCAGUCCGUCAAUUGUUCUAUCACAAGGUAUUUAAGCGUGAUGGGCUAAUUGAGUUGCAUAAACCAAUGGUUGAUCUUGCUGAUCACAUCAUAAAAAAAUGUGAUGGGGACCUUUGUGCAAUCACUAUCAUAAGUGGACUUCUAGGCACCAAAACUCGGACAUCAGAAGCAUGGAACAGCGUGCUAGAACGUUAUGACUCAGAGUUAAGAAAUAAACCUGACCGGGUUGCUACAGCAGCAGCAAAAUUGAGCUAUGUUGAUUUACCAUCCCAUAUGAAAUAUUUGCUACAAUAUAUUAGCAUUUUUCUGAGAGGCUACAGCAUAACGCGCAGAAGAUUGGCAAGUGCGUGGAUGGCAGAAAUCUACAGCAAGAAUAUAAGAGAAGAUAAUGCUGAGGAACUUGAGAAGAUCUUUGAUGGCCUGGUUAUGAGGGGUAUUCUUCAUCCAUUGAAACGAGCAGAAACAACUGGCGGAAGAGUAAAUGUCUGCCAGGUUGAUGAUUUGUUUCAACAACUCGGUGGCUCGGAAGUGAAAUCGGGUGUGUCUAUCCACAUCCUUGAUGAGCACACUGUGAAUAGAAACUCUACAAUCUCCCAACCCAGACACCUAGUGGUUAAAAGCGGGUGGAUAAGACAUGAUGAUGAGUUCAAGAAAAUAGACCACUCUUGUGCCCGGUCACUAACAGUUUUUGGGGAGUGGAGUUCCUUUUUUAUUUCACCAAGCAUGAAGUUGCUAAGGGUGCUUGAUUUGGAAGAUACUGCAGGUCUGGUGGAGCAUCAUGACCUUGAGCAAAUUGGGGAUUUUCGGCACCUUAAGUAUCUGAGUCUCAGGAACACCGGCAUUUCCCAUCUACCUAACUCUUUGGGGAAGUUGCAAGGCCUUGAGGUAUUAGAUAUCCGGGGCACUUACAUCGCCAAGCUGCCAUCUACAAUCAUUCAUCUCACUGGGCUGUGCCAUCUCCGUGGUGGUACAAUGGCGACAUCAAUGGAAGGCAAUUCUCAGCUUGAUUUUAGCUGUGAAGUGACCAGUUGUUGUCCCCAGCCUCUCCAGUGUGCUGCUUCAUCUGCUUUCCGCAUGUGUUUGCUACAUCCGUUUCAGAGGGACAAACCACAUGGUGUGCGUGUCCCGAAGAUGAUUGGGAAACUGAAGUUUAUUACUACACUGGGGACCAUUGAUGUUACAGGCAACAGUCGAAGUGCUAUGAAGGAGCUACAGAAGCUAACACAGUUACAGAGGUUAGGUUUGAUUGGGGUUACUAAACACAACAGCAAGCAUCUCUGCUCCACUCUUGAGCGACUCCAGGAUCUGCGGUCAUUGAUGGUUCACUCUGGAGAUUCACUCGGAAGAUUAGAUACUGUUUCCCCACCUCCACACCAUCUUGAAACAUUGAAACUAUAUGGCAGUCUUGGCACGCUCCCAAGGUGGAUCAAGACCCUUCAUAAUCUCCAAAAGCUAUGCCUUCGCACAACACUCCUGGACAGUGAUGCUGUACAGAUCAUCUCGAAGCUACCCAAGUUGAUCAUGCUACGCCUCUUGGCUAAAUCAAUUAUGGUGGAGGAAAUGGAAUUUCAAAGUGAUGCAUUUCUAAAGCUUGAGCUGCUCCAACUUGACCGGUUAGAAAAUCUCAUGUCGGUAUCAUUUCCAGGAGGAGCACUGCCAAACCUGGAGAUACUGCUUGUCAAUAACUGCAACCUUUUAAGCGGGCAUGUCCUGCGUCAGUUUCACAAGCUCCCCAAAAUUAAAAAGGUGUUGCUGGAUGGCUCUACCGAUCUGGAUCGAAAUGAACGAGCUGCUGCGUUUAAGAAACAUGAGGAGGCGAAGGCAGAGGUAAUACAGAAAAUCAGAGCUCAAGCACAUAUAAUUCGAGCUGCAUUCGCGUUCAAGGAGGCAGCAGCAGCAGCACGCAAUUGA
RNAcentral lists this ribosomal RNA (3540 nucleotides) under Triticum aestivum (bread wheat). RNAcentral's name for it is "partial small subunit ribosomal RNA". The record is from RNAcentral. Lineage: Eukaryota; Viridiplantae; Streptophyta; Magnoliopsida; Poales; Poaceae.